RNAcentral lists this non-coding RNA (93 nucleotides) under Actinomyces sp. RNAcentral describes it as "SAM-I sequence". It matches the Rfam family "SAM riboswitch aptamer (S box leader)". Rfam says of the family: The SAM riboswitch is found upstream of a number of genes which code for proteins involved in methionine or cysteine biosynthesis in Gram-positive bacteria. RNAcentral also lists the same sequence under 1 other name. Lineage: Bacteria; Bacillati; Actinomycetota; Actinomycetes; Actinomycetales; Actinomycetaceae. The record is from RNAcentral.
AGCCCAUCUAGAGCAGCAGAGAGACUUGGCUCAAUGAAGCUGCAGCAACCCCCGAACCCUCGGUGUGGGUGCUACCGCCAAGAACGAUGGAGG